This 77-nucleotide transfer RNA is filed under the name Yersinia enterocolitica. Its description in RNAcentral is "tRNA-Met". It matches the Rfam family "tRNA". Rfam says of the family: Transfer RNA (tRNA) molecules are approximately 80 nucleotides in length. Their secondary structure includes four short double-helical elements and three loops (D, anti-codon, and T loops). The record is from RNAcentral. Lineage: Bacteria; Pseudomonadati; Pseudomonadota; Gammaproteobacteria; Enterobacterales; Yersiniaceae.
UGGCCCCUUAGCUCAGUUGGUUAGAGCACGCGACUCAUAAUCGCUUGGUCACUGGUUCAAGUCCAGUAGGGGCCACC